AGAGUGAACGCUGGCGGCAGGCCUAACACAUGCAAGUCGAACGGCAGCACAAGGGAGCUUGCUCCCUGGGUGGCGAGUGGCGGACGGGUGAGGAAUACGUCGGAAUCUGCCUAUUUGUGGGGGAUAACGUAGGGAAACUUACGCUAAUACCGCAUACGACCCCAUGCCGAGAGGCGCGGGGUGAAAGCGGAGGACCUUCGGGCUUCGCGCAGAUAGAUGAGCCGCGUCGGAUUAGCUAGUUGGUGAGGUAACGGCUCACCAAGGCUACGAUCCGUAGCUGGUCUGAGAGGAUGAUCAGCCACACGUGGGACUGAAGACCACGGCCCAGACCUCCGUACGGGAGGCAGCGAGGUGGGAAUAGUUGGACAAGUGGCG
Molecule: ribosomal RNA, 375 nt
Filed under: uncultured soil bacterium
Lineage: Bacteria
Description: bacterial SSU rRNA
Rfam family: Bacterial small subunit ribosomal RNA
Source: RNAcentral